This is a non-coding RNA of Sphingomonadales bacterium GWF1_63_6, 386 nucleotides long. NCBI's taxonomy places the organism in Bacteria, Pseudomonadati, Pseudomonadota, Alphaproteobacteria, Sphingomonadales. The record is from Rfam.
CCAGAGGGCUGGGCGGCCGCGGCGUGGCGGGUAACUUCCACGGCGAGGAAAGUCCGGGCUCCACGAAAUGACGGUGCCGGUUAACGACCGGCUGGAGUGAUCCAAGGGACAGUGCAACAGAAAGCAGGUCGCAACGGCUUAGGCCAUGCGAAAUUGAAAGGGUGCGGUAAGAGCGCACCGCGUCUGCGGCAACGCAAGGCGGCACGGUAAACCCCACCGGGAGCAAGACCGAAUAGGGACGGCGCGCAGUUUCGGCUGCUAGGUCUGUUUCGACCGAGAUCGUCCGGGUUGGUUGCUGGAGGGGCGGAGUAAUCCGUCCCCUAGAGGAAUGGUCGCACAUCUCCGAAAGGAGAGGACAAAACCCGGCUUAUAGGCCCUCUGGCACA